Molecule: microRNA precursor, 173 nt
Filed under: Podarcis lilfordi (Lilford's wall lizard)
Lineage: Eukaryota; Metazoa; Chordata; Lepidosauria; Squamata; Lacertidae
Source: RNAcentral
AUGUAGCGAGCUGAGUGGGGAGGAGAGAGGGACAGAGAGCCUGCUUGCUUUAAAGGAACCAACCGGACAGGAGCACUUACACUCGUGUAAGUGGCUCCUCUCCUCUCCCGCUUUUCUCCUUUAAAGAAGCAGGCUCUCUGUCCCUCUCUCCUCCCCACUCAGCGGCUCUUCUC